CACCCUAGCGUGCGGAUGGGAGACCAGUGAAAUAAAAGCUCCACCAGGAGAAAAAGUUUUCUCUCCGAGCAGCUGCUGCUACAAGGAGCUUGCUCAUUAACUAAUGUAAGCCAUGCACGUUAUUCACUACUACUAAUAUCAACUUAAAUGCAACGUGCAAUUUGCAAAGAAAAUAUUCACAUUUGAGAGGAGAUUAUUUUAAAAAUAAAUACUUGCAAAAGUGUGUGUGUGUGUGUGUGUGUGUUUGUGUGAUGAAGGGUCAUACAGGAUGGAGAUUGAUAUCAAUAAAUUGUAACAACAGCACCAAAGAUAGGAUGAUAAAUGAAGGUUUUAUUUUCUGCGGAAAGUGAAAGUAACUCGACCAAGAGAGAAAAGUUUCUUCCACUAGUAGCUCCAACAAGGAGCUCGCCCACCAACUAAUGCAAGCAUGUUCUUCAGGAAGGAUGGUGAAAUUUUAACAUUAGCUGCGAAGAUAUUUAAGUUUAAGUAAAUUUUACUUAGUUUAUAUUGAAUAUAGUAAAAAUUGCUCGUUUUUAUUUUCCAGAGGAGCCAUAUCCUUUGGCUCCACGCCGAGAAGCAACAGGUGCUGUGGUGGUAAUAAUUUCAUCAAACGUAGACUUCUUCAACGGUCCAUUAUGGAGUUUUAUAAUCAAGAACUGAGCAACACGAUCCCCAAGUUCAACUUGAUAUGGAAGUUUCCCAUGGUUGAUUAGCAUAACCCCCAAAGUUCCUUCAAAAUCUUCAUCGACCACGCCCCCCAUGACGUCAAUUUUAUGCCGCAACGCUAACCCAGACCUUGGUUUAAUCAAACCAACAUGGCCCAACGUACAAAUCAUAACCAGCAGAUUGAGGGUGCAACUUUGUUGGAAAUUUACUUUCAAAGGUCUUCCUAAUAAAGUGGACCGUUCUAUAGUCAUCUAGAAGGAAAUCAAUUACUACAUUCAAUCCAUAUAAUGAGGAGAUACCAUCAAAACGGGAUACCAAAAAUUGUCAGGUAAAAGAAAGCUUUCUUUGGCUUGGAAAAUCGAAGUCAUAGCUACGUUACAUGAUUUAACAAAUUUUAAUUUUCUUUGGAGUGUUAUAGGCAAGAAGUGAAAAAACUGUGUAUGUCCCAUUAUAUAAUCGUUAUUUGAAAUAAUUAUAAGAUCUUCCGAAUUUUUAUAGACGCCCUGAUUAGAAUCUACUUCCUCUGACCAACCAACUUGUUCAGCUUAAGAGAGGUAAAGAAAAAAUAGAUUUCAGUUUAAUUUUGAAAGGAUUUAUGGGAUCCAGGUAGUAUAAUCAGGGUCUGUGUCAAUCUUUGUUUGCAGGGUAUCGCAAGCUGCAACCAACGAUUGAAAAUAUUUAAACGACAGGUUUGCCCCUGUGGUUUGAUUCUUUCUGAUGCAGACAUAAGCCUGCCCAUUUUUUCUCCAAGUUUGGAGUUUUAGCCAAAACCCCUGACCUCGCUGGCCCUCCCAAUGGACAAUAUUUUGUCCACUAGGAUCGUCACUCCUUUCCCCUUCGGGAGCAAAAUUAAGCGAAAUAGGACCUUUGUAAGAUGAUGAAGGCACAUAUGCUUCAUAUGCUCCGGAGCUGAUGAUGAUGAGCUUGCAGGAGGAAUCGUAGUACGAGCAACAGGAACAAGCGCCGUUGAAGGAACAGGAACAGCAGAAGGCGGAACACUCUUGACUCGACCUCUCUUCUCCGCUGGGGACUUUUCUGCAAUUAAUAGAAAUAAAAAUUUAAAGCUUAUGAUUACAACAAAUUUCCCUAUUAACAUUUUAAAAUAAUUAUUGACAUCUUACCCUUUUCAGUCAUCUUCCUCUUGUUAGCGGCGGCAGCAGCCUUGACUGUCUUCUCUUCAGGACCAGUGUAGAACAGGCUUAACGGGUUUCGACGAGCGGCAUCUAGCUCCUUCUUGGAAGCAGCGUCAACCUUCUUCGCAUCAGCUGCAUUCUCCCUUGCUUCCCGUCGUCGUUUCUGCUCCGUUCUUUGCGCUUUGACUUAGGCACUGCAUACAAAUCAUCCACGAGGAACAAAAUCAGGAUCCUCCUCUGGCUCAGACGGAGAAUCCUCGUCCUCUUCGUCUUCAUCCUCCUCCUCAUCAGUGAAAGGUCCGCUUGGUUCCUCCUCAUCAUCGUCUACGACGAAUCCAGCGUCAAAGACUUCAGGUUGUCGGCGGUGAGAAAGAAGAAAAGCUCGUGCGUCCACAGACUCUCGACUUCCUGGCUUAGCCUCCUCUAAGAUUUUUCGUGCUCUUGCCACUGCGUUUAUCCCUGCUAAGAUUUACGUAAAUAUUGGAAUUUAUUUAAGUUUAUAUUUUAUCAACAUUUGAAAGUUUUCCUAAAGCUUGUUUAGUUUCUUAAAAUUAUUUUAUUUGUGUUUUAGGAAAACUUACCCUGAGACAUUUUGGAGUUUUAAAGUUUUUAUUUCUUCUUUGGAAAUCCUUUGCACGUAAUGUUGAAACAUUGACUAACUUGCUCAUUACUUUGCCAAUUGUUUUUAUAGUCUUAGUAAUUUACAAAAAAAAAAUUCCAAAAUAAGUACAUACCGUAAAAAUGUAAUAACUCCCUAGGGGUUACUAAUUCAAUUAUUUACAAAAUACGGUUAAUAGUGGUAAGUGGUAAUUAAUAUUUUUUACAGUAUUGGAGUUGAAGUGAUGGUAUGUUUUAUUAUAUGUAAACACAUUCCUGGUAUUAAGAUAAUGACGUCACGCCGAGAUAU
Molecule: long non-coding RNA, 2706 nt
Organism: Folsomia candida
Lineage: Eukaryota; Metazoa; Arthropoda; Collembola; Entomobryomorpha; Isotomidae
Exons: 7
Source: RefSeq, a predicted model, not a curated record